AGUCUAAUAGUUUAUUUAGAAUGUAGAUUUGCAAAAUCUGAGGGCGCCUGUAGGAGUUAGACCU
Molecule: transfer RNA, 64 nt
Filed under: Pthirus pubis (crab louse)
Lineage: Eukaryota; Metazoa; Arthropoda; Insecta; Psocodea; Pthiridae
Description: tRNA-Cys
Source: RNAcentral